RNAcentral lists this ribosomal RNA (462 nucleotides) under uncultured bacterium. RNAcentral's name for it is "bacterial SSU rRNA". It matches the Rfam family "Bacterial small subunit ribosomal RNA", at positions 17 to 507 of the family's 1533-position model. The record is from RNAcentral.
UCCUGGCUCAGAACGAACGCUGGCGGCAGGCUUAACACAUGCAAGUUUGAACGGGAUUUGUAUGGUGCUUGCACUAUAUAAUGAGAGUAGCGCACUGGUGAGUAACACGUGGGAACAUACCUUGAAUGGGGAACAACAGUUGGAAACGACUGCUAAUACCGCAUACGCCCUGAGGGGGAAAGAUUUAUCGCUUUAAGAUUGGCCCGCGGAAGAUUAGGUAGUUGGUGGGGUAAUGGCCUACCAAGCCGACGAUCUAUAGCUGGUCUGAGAGGACGAACAGCCACAUUGGAACUGAGACACGGUCCAGACUCCUACGGGAGGCAGCAGUGAGGAAUAUUGGGCAAUGGAGGAAACUCUGACCCAGCCAUGCCGCGUGAGUGAAGAAGGUUUUCGAAUUGUAAAGCUCUUUCGGAUGUGAAGAUGAUGACGGUAGCAUCUAAAGAAGCCCCGGCAAACUUCGUG